This is a non-coding RNA of Vicugna pacos (alpaca), 70 nucleotides long. The record is from the annotation of a RefSeq genome assembly. Lineage: Eukaryota; Metazoa; Chordata; Mammalia; Artiodactyla; Camelidae.
GGGUGCAGCUCAGUGGUAGAGCGUGUGCUCAUCAUGCACAAGGUCCCGGGUUCAAUCCCCGGUGUCUCCA